GUGUGUGUGUGUGUGUGUGUGUGAUAUUCUUAUGAUCUACAAAUUAAUGAUGGGUGGGUAAAUCUCAAUCUUUUAGUGGAAUUACAAAUUGAUCAAUUAAAUUAUUAACAUUCAUCAAAAUAACCUUUAUUUUUGAAAAUAACCAAAGAUAUUUUCAAAUGUGUAAAAUGUUAUUCAAAAUGACCAUUUAUUACCUUAUUUAGUUUGGGGCUAUAAUGUAACAUGUUAAAUUGCACCUUAAUUCAACAUCAAUUUUUGUUCAUUAGAGAUUAAUUUGUUUAUUAACUUCUUGACACUUUAGAGAUAAAUGUGUAGGUAAUGGAAAGUGUACAAAGACUAAUUAUUAGAAAGUUAGGCUUACAAGACAUUAAUUUUUUAGACAAAAUAGUCUACAAUGGAAGACUAAUUAUUAGAAAGUUAGACGUUUUUUUAAACAAAAUAGUCUACAAUGGGAUGACAUUGAUGUGAGAUCUGUUAGUGCUAGUGCAUUUGGAUGAAAAGAAUGAGAGGAUAUGCAAGUGAAAAGGAUAAGAGAUUGUAGUAUUGAAAUUUAUGUUUAAUUUCUUACAUGUUAAGUAUUGAAAUGUAUGUAUAUUUACUUGCAAUACUAACAACAACUUAAAUACUUACGAUUUGUUUGCGAGUUUAGAGGAGAGGGGAAGGCUAUUGUAAACGAAAUUUUAAAAAAAUAUAGGAAAAUAUUUGACAUUUAAAAAAAAUGAUUUUGUUUAGAAUGAUAAAAAAGUCAUUAUCAUUACUAUAUUUUUAAUUUUCAGAAUACUAUAACAACCUAAAAGAUAUUUGGAAAAUUUAUGUAAGUCAUCCAAAACCCUCAUUCAAUACAAUUUUUCAGUUACCCAUUUUAGGGGGUUUUUGGUAUUACAAAUAAAAUCGAACGCUCCAAAACCCUCCUACCCAAAAUCUUUCUAUUCUUCUCACUCAAUCCUUCCUAUUUUUCAAAGUCCUCCCCCUCCCUUCCCCUCCAAACUCGCAAACUAAUCCUUAGUAAUUGGAUUAUAUUACAACAUCCCCUUAUAAUCUAAUUAUGCUGAUCACGAUCUUAACAGUCAAUUUGUACAAGACCUAAAAAAUUUCUUAAAGCUAAAAAAAAUUCAACUUUUAGUCCCUUAGUAAGAAUGUCUGCAACUUGUGAUUCACUUGAGCAAUGUCUUACUUCAAGUUCACCUUGGUUUACCUUCUCCCUCAAGAAAUGACACCUUGCUUCAAUGUGUUUAAUUCUGCCAUGUAGAACUGGGUUCCUUGCAAGAUUAAUAGUUGAAUUGUUGUCAAUCUGUAGCACCAGUUGUCUCCUAACAUGGACCUGCACUUCAUCAAGCAUAUACUUGAUCAAGAUGGCUUGACAAGCAGCCUAAGAUCCUACUAUGUAUUCUGUUUCGCGUAAGGACAAUGCCACCACACGUUUCUUCCUUGAACACCAUGAAAUUAGAGCACCCAACACCUGAAAGAAAUAUUCAAUUGUGCUUCUUCUAUCCUUAUUGUCUCUAUACUAAUCAGCAUCACAAUAGCAAUUGAUCAGGGCCUCUUUGCCUUCACAUGAUUGUGGAAACAUGAUUCCACAAUUGAGUGAUCCUUUACGAUAUCUUAGGAUUCUCUUUGUAGCCUUCAUGUGUGACACUCUACAUUCAUCCAUGUACAUUCUUACUAGUCCCACUAAGAAGCCUAUAUUAAGUAUGAUAUUGCACACAUACCACAAGAAUCUUAUAACUUUCUUGAAUAGAGUGACAACAACGUUGUCCUUAUCUUCAUGCUUUUCAAGUUUCAAAUUUGGUUCAAUAGGUGAAUAUGCGGGAUAUGAAUCAAGCAUUAUGAAUCUCUUGAGGAUUUGUUAAAUACUUCCUUUAAUGUAGAACCAUACCAUUUUUGGUCCUUUGGAACUCUAUACCUAGUUUACCUCAAUAGCUUUGGUGUUUGCUGGCAACUUGACUAUUUCCCAUGUAUUGUUUCUUUCUAUGGAUUACAGUUCUUCAAUCAUGGUUUCUUUCCAUUAUUUGUUCUUCAACUCAUUGUAGUUGAUGGGCUCAACACCAGUAAGCAAAGAAAAAUGAACCAAGUCUCCAUCUAUUGUGACUUCAUCAUCACCAACCACUUCACAGUCGUAAAUUCUUGCUGGAGUAAUCAUGGUUCUUUGAGGCCUUUGUGAUGUGGUUGCUACAUCCUGUUGGAUUACUUCAUUUCCAUGCUCGAGAUCUUCUGCUUCCAUAAUUGGAGUUUCAAUAAAAUAAUGUUCAUCAACUAGAGUCUCAUUUUGCUCACUACUAUCUUCAUAAAAUAUAUUACUCAUCAACCACAAUUAAAAUGCUCACUAGAAUAUUGCCAGUGAAUGGAUUGAAUAACAUGUAAGCUCCAGUCUUGUGAUAACCUACCAGAAUUAUACGUUCACUUUUGUCAUAAAGUUUUCUUCUCCUAGCAUCAAGAACAUGUCUGUAACAAAUGGAACCAAAAACUUAUAGAUGACUCGCAGAUGGUUUCUUGCCACUCCACACUUCAUCAGGGACCUUGUUCUUUAGUAUUUUGGUAGGGCAUCUAUUUAACACAUAAGCAGCACCGGUGACUCCUUCACCCUAUAGAGAGUUUGGUAAGUUCUUUUGUUUCAAAAUACAUUUGGACAUACCUAAUAUACUUCUAUUACUUCUCCCAGCUGUUCCAUUGUGUUAAGGGGUGUAGGGAAUAGUUUCUUUAUGAUUAACUAAAUGUUCUACAUGAAAUUCCUUAAACAGCUUGGAUGUAUAUUCACCACAUCCAUUUGUUCUUAGAACCUUAAUCAUCUUUUCACUUUGAGUUUCAACCAUUAUUUUAAAUCUUUUAAAGAUUACACUUCAUAUUUAUGUCUAAUCAUGUAGACCCCUAUUUUUCUACUGUUAUCCACAACAAAUGAUACAAAUUAUUUGUUGCUUCCAAUAGUAAUAUUCUCAAAAGGACCACAUACAUCUAAAUUAUAGUAUUCAAGAUGACCCCAUUGGCAUAUGAGAUAUGAUAACUUUCUAGAUUGCUUCCCUACCUAGCAACCCUCACAAAUUUUGUUAGGCAUGACAAGACUUGGUAUACCAAUUACCAUGUCAUGAGUAAUGAGUUGAUUGAGUGGCCUAAUGAUUAAAUGGCCAAACCUUAAGUGUCAUAGCCAACUCUUCUUGUGCUCUACAAUUUCAUUCACACAUUGAACCUCAAUUGAAUUGAUAAUGGUCUUAAAUGUUUAAUUUUUGGAUAGGGGAGAUUUCAAUACCAACCUAUUGUAAAAAUCAAACAACUCAAAAUCUCCAUUCUUCAUGUCCACUGAGAAGCCUUUUUCAGCCAUUUAUCCAACACUCAAUAGGUUGUAUUUCAUCCUAGGCACAUAAAACACAUCCUUGAUUAUGGCUUGUGCUUCAUUGCUUCUUCGAAUAACCAUGAUGCCUUCUCCUUUUGCUUAUAAUAAGCUACCAUGAGAAAGCCAAGUCUUUAUUUUCUUAGUGUCAUUAAAGUAUGGUAGCCAAGUUCCAUGACCAGUCAUGUGGUUUGAGCAACAUGUAUCCAAAAACCAGGUUUUGGAAUCCACAUGUUCAUCUGAGACUACAGCCAUAAGCACCAUGGUGUCAGAGUCAUCUGAAUCUUCUUGUGAAACAUUUGCUCCUUCAUCAUGCUUUUCCUUUGUAGCUCCCUUGCCAUUCUUGUAUCGGAAGUUCUUGGCCACGUGUCCCCAUUUUUCUUAGAUAUAGCAUUGCACGUUUUUCUUUUCUAGUUUGUCUUUGUGAUGUGAGGCUCCUCUUUUGAGGAUUCACAAGCCAUAUAAUCAACCUUUUUCUUUUAAAAAUGCAACUAAUAAAUCCUUUUUACCUAAGUAUUGUCUCCUUUCCCCUUAAACUUGUUGGAACCUCCAUGCUUGUUUCUUGUUUGGGCUUGCAAUCCAUGUAUCGAGUCUCGAACAUCCUUUCUCUUGAUUAUCCUUAAUUCAUGAGCCUUCAAUGAACCAACAAAAACUGUCAACUUCAGUGUGUCAAGAUUGUUGGAUUCUUGAAUAGCCACGGUAACACGAUCAGAGAGAGGUCAACAUUCACAUUAACUUCUCAACUAUCAUCUUAUCAAUCAAAUUUUUGCCACAUCCUUUCAUGAGGUGAACAAGAUUUUGCAUCUUGAAUACAUAGCUCUCCGUCUUCUCGUCUUCUCGUCUUCUCCCAUCUGUAGUAAGUAGUAACUGUGAAUACAAGAUUACACUCAAAGAGGUUUUUGAUUUAUGGCAAACUCAAAUGAGCAUUCAAACAACAAGGAGGAAUCAGAAAAGCAAAGCAUUUGAUCACUCAUGAAAGCACAAGGUGAUCCACUAUGCAUAUAAGUCGACUCAACACAAGCUGGACAUGAAAAAUGCAGAAAAUCAGCAGUUAGGUCGACCUACUGUCAAUCUAGGUCGACCUAAAAUGAAGGAAAAUCCAUAUACCUCUGCUAGGUCGACUCACAGACCAUUUAGGUCGACUCAAAAUGAAGAAAUCUUCAUAUCAGUCUGCUAGGUCGACCUACAUGGCAACUAGGUCGACCUAAUCUGUGAAAAUGUCCCCAGAAUGCAUCAGAAGAGGAUUCUGGUCGACCUACUCCUUCAACAGGUCGACCUAACUGGGAGCAAAAUUCUGCAAGCUCUGUUAGGUCGACCUAAGCACUACAAGUGGUCGACCUAACUGAUCAAGAAAGUUCAAAAAUCAGUUUUUCUUGAUUCUAACUGUUAUGAAAUCAUAUAUAUUGUACAAGGGUAAUUAUUCAAGCAACACCAACGACUGAAAGAUACACAAACGCUUCUCAUCUUCGUUCUUCAUCAUCUCCAACACAAUUACACAUAAUCAUUCUUGCGUUGCGGGUUAGUGAUGAGUUCGAUAACGUCCAUGGAACGGAAUUGAAGAUUCCUAGUGGGUGAAGGUUUGUGGGGUUUGUUGGUGAAUAAAAUCUGCGGGUUUUGUCCUCCACGACGGGUGGUUCUUGGGGGUUUUUAUCAAGAGGCGUUCAUUGAGGAUUCGGCUGAGUGUAACGAUUGAGGAACGGGGAGUUCAAGGAAUCAAGACACUGCAGAAGGGAAUCAAAGUGAAGCUCUUGGAUAACCUUGAUCUGGCUCAAGAUUAAGGGGGAAGAAGAUUCAAAGGAUCGACAUAAUUGGUUUAUCGUUUAUCGCUUUGUUAUCUUCUUUGUAUAUACUACUUUCAACAUUAAUGAAAGAUUACCCAAUUUCAAUUUGGAAUUGGGGGCAGACGUAGUCGUAGCGAGGACGAUCGACGAACUGCCUAAACAAAUAUCGUGUUCUUGUCGCUUUUACUUUCUCUUUUACUUUCUGUUCAUAAUUGGUUAUAAGUGCAAAAUUGAUCAACGAUUCAAGUGUUAAAAUUGUGAAUUAAAGUUCUGCACAAACAUCACAAUUCACCACAACUUGAAUCACUAUCAAUUUGAAUCUAUCACCAAGUGUUUGUGUUUUUGCUUAAUCCAAUCUUACUGCAUUGCAAAUCAAAGUUGUCAAUCUAGAAGUUAAUUGGAUUUCAGUUGUUAAACGUAUUGGUUAGCUAUCAUAUUACUUCACCAUCAAUUCCACUUACUCUUUGGUUUUGAAACACAUACGACCUUUGCAAUAGCGGUCCAGAAUAGACGCAAGUCGAUUCAGAACCGCUUUCGCUCGAGUCUGUAGAAAAAUUUGUAAAAACUUAGUGAGAUCUAUUCACCCCCCCUCUAGAUCUAUAGGCCAGCGUCUAACAAGUGGCAUCAAGAGCUCUGGUUUAUUCCGUGCUACGUGAAACACUUAUUGGAAAGAUGGCUUCUGGACCUAAAGGGGCUCAUAAUAGAGCUCCAGUUUUCAACGGAGAAAACUACGGCUAUUGGAAGGAUUGUAUGUGUGUCCAUAUCAAUGCAAUUGAUAGGAACAUUUGGACAGCUAUUGUCAAUGGUCCAUUUCAGAUCACUAUGACAAAUGCAGCUGGUGCAGUUGUUCCAAAACCAGAAGAUACUUGGAAUGCUGAAGAUGAAAAGAAAUAUGCAUACGAUUGGAAAGCGAGAAACAUUCUAAUCUCAGCUCUAGGAGUUGAUGAAUACUAUCGCGUUUCCCAUUGUAGAUCAGCUAAAGCUAUGUGGGACACAUUGCAAGUUGCCCACGAGGGAACGGAUGAUGUCAAACUAGCUAGGAUCAAUACGUUAACUCAAGAGUUCGAACUUUUCCACAUGGAAGAUGGUGAAACCAUCGAAAGCAUGCAGAAAAGAUUCGUUCACCUGAAAAAUCGAUUAAAUUCUCUUGAUAGACCUGUUUCCAAUGCAGUUGCUACUAACAAAAUCUUAAGGUGUUUGAACAGGGAAUGGCAGCCCAAAGUUACAGCAAUUAAGGAAGCAAAUGAUCUCAACACUUUAGACAUUACCACUCUCUUUGGUAAACUAGAGGAACAUGAACAGCAUCUUAAAUGCCUUGACAUGCAUGAGAAGAGGACAAAGAAAGAAAAGAACAUGGAAAAAGAGGUAGAGAAGAAGUCAAUAGCUCUAAAAGCUUCGAGCUCCAAGACCUCAAAACGAGAGCCAAAGGAUAGUGACACAAGUGAUGACGAAGACUCCGAUGAUGAGGAAAUGGGACUGUUUGUGCGAAGAUACAACAAAUAUCUAAAGAAAAAUGGAGCAAAACAUUCCGACAAAGGAUUGAUCAACUAUAGAAAGCAAUCAAACAUGUUCAAACAAGAUGACGACAACAAAGGAAAGAUCAAAGGUCUUUGCUUCAAUUGUGGGAAAGCCGAUCACUACAAACCGGAUUGUCCAUACCUUAAGAAAGAAAAGGAGAAGAACCAAAGCAAAGGUCAUAACAAAUCUAAAAGAGCUUACAUAGCAUGGGAAAGUGAUUCAUCUAGUGAAAGCUCGUCAAGCGAUGAAGAAGAAUCAGCAAACCUAUGUUUCAUGGCUCAUCAAAACAAGAAAAAGAAAGCUGUAAGUCAUCUUAAACCUGAACUCGUAGAUAAGGUAUCUCAUUCUCAACUAAAACUUGCUUUUGAAGAAUUACAUAGAGAUGCAAUUAAAGCUUUCAAACUUUUGGCCUCAAAUAAGAAAAUAUUUUCAUAUCUUGAAUCAAAAGUUGAGAAAACCGAAAGGGAUAUGGAAGCUUUAAAACAAUCUAUGCUAGACAUUCAAAAGGACAAAGUUGAAUUAGAUCCUACAUCAUGGUUUGGCUGUGAGACAUGUCACAUUUGGCAAAAAGAAGUGAGAGAUCUAAAAGCCAAGUUAGACAAGGCUCUACAACCAAAAGUGACUUUUGCGGUUGAUCCAAACAAGUUCAAAAGAUCGUAUACUCCUUUAUAUAGUAAAUACACUUUUGUACCAAAAGUAUCAACUAGCAAAACUCCAUAUUCUCAUCAUAUUACCUGUCAUUAUUGUUGCAAAAAGGGACAUACCAUUGAAAAAUGCAAAUUUAGGAGAAUUUUAGUUCCUAAAGGAGUAUUUCAAUGGUUGCCUAAGUGCAACAAAUUGUGUACUCACCAUCCAGGACCCAAUGAAGAUUGGGGACCUUCUACUCUAAUUUAAUCUCGCAGGAAAAGUGUCUUGACAUCGCCGAACGGUGGUAGUUCCUUGACAGCUGGUGCUCAAGACACACAUAGGUAGACAUACCAAUUUUGAUAUGUCAUCUAUGAAGACAGUUUGAAGAAUCGAUACUAGACAAGUUUUUCGCAAAAGUCAACCUGUGAAACAUUCCAUCAAAUCAAUUCAUUAUCAAAUCUAGGAGUAUGGCACACUGACAAGAAGACUCCACACAAUGAUGACAAAACACCUACAUAUUGAGAAAGCGGUAACAUGUUUAUUGUUCACUUCCAAAAAUUUUAUUGAUGCUAUAAUAUGCUAUCAAUUAACAUGCUUAUAGUGACAUCAUGUGCUCUUAUCUACUCUUCUCAAAUACUUAUGUAUAUUUGUUCAUCAGUUCAUUCAUAACAUACAAUGGUUGUGCAUUCAAGCAAAUGUCAAAACAAAAAUACAUCAUAUAGAAACAUUUCUAAGGCAUUUUCAUCAUUGAAAGAAACUUAGGUCGACCUACCCUGUAUUUGAGUCGACCUACAUAAGAAGCUUUUUUAGAAAAACCAAAAAGGUCCAGUUGCGUCGACCUACUCACAAUUUAGGUCGACCUAAUUUGGUCAUUUGUUGUUACUACUUCUGUUAGGUCGACCCAGCUUCACUUUAGGUCGACCUACUGCGUAAAUUUUUUUUUUAUUUGGGUCUGUUAGGUCGACCCGACCCAAUAACAUUCAUUCAAAACACUCCAUUCUUGCAUUCCCUCUCAUUCUCAUCUCUUUUGGUACGGCUAACCCUAAUUCCUCAAACUCAAAACUAUCAAAAAUCCUCCCUCUCUCACUCAAAGCAUCUCCAACCAUGCCUCCAAAAUCAAGAAAAGGAAAGGAAAUUGCUUCCAGUUCAUCAUCUCAACCGGUAAGUGCUCUUGUUCAUCCUGAUUGUAGAGAAAACUUUGAGAAGUGGCAGAUGCAAAGGAAAAUUGUUAAGCAAUACACUUAUGAUCCAAAUCUUGUCGAAAACAUGCAUAUCCCUGAUGUCGCUGCGUUAAUUGAACAUCAAAAUAUUCAUCCCUUAUUGCAAUGUGAUACCCCGUACUGUGAAAAUACCGUUAGGGCUUUCUAUGCAGGAUUUACGAAAGGAGACGGUUGUAACUUCCGUUUCAAAAUGGGAUCUAGAUCGCAUGUUGUUGACAAACGGGUCUGGAUUAGUAUCUUUGGUCUGACAAUCGUUGGUGAUGAACUCCGUAUGGUAGACGGGGAUGUACCGGGAAACUAUGAUCAUGAGGCCUACAUGAAGUCAAUCCUCAAAGAUCCUUCCGUAUUUGACAGAUCAAAUGAAACAAUAACAGCUGGUCAUUUAAAGCGAGAUCCUAGGCUCUUGAACUGGGUAAUCUCAAGAAUCAUUCGACCAAGGGCUGGAGGAUAUUCGAGAAUUGAAAGAAAUGAAGUGGUGCUCAUGUAUCUGCUGCAAAACAGAACGCGUUUACACUGGCCUCACUUCCUUGCUGCUAAGUUUCAUGAGGUCAAACAGAAAACUACAGCCCUAUGUUAUGGUUCAAUCAUUCAAACAAUUGUCAAUCACUUUGGUAUGCGACUUGAUCACUUACACUACACUCGCGUACAUCAAUCCCAGGAAUUCUCACAAACCACCUUGACUCUUAUGGGAUAUCAUUGGAAUCCUGUGAGGAAAACAUAUUAUCUCAUUCAAAAAGGAACAGGGAAAGUUAUCUACAACUAUGAUGAUCCUACGGAGUUUGGAAACAAUGUAGGAAAUGAGGAAGAAGGAAACGAUUAAGAAAUAGCAAAUGAGGAGGAUCAAACCAUGGAAGACAUAGCUCAUGACACAGAUCCAAAUUGGCAAUAUGUUCCGUCUCAACAGGAAGAAGUUCCUUGGGGAUACACUGCUCCACCUCCUCCUGAUCAAUCUAACAUAAUAUCUAUGCUUGAAGCUAUGCAACUUCAACAAAAGCAGAACUUUGAAACUCAACAGCUUCAAUUUCAAACAAUGCAGCAGCUUCAACAAGAUAGAUAUGAGGAACAACAACGGCAAUACCAAUCUCUGUACGGCUUGGUUCAGGAACAAAGGAACGAUUUUGAGACGUUUGCAUCCAACUCCAUAUUGAGGCAGAAUCAGUUUGAGGAAACGGCAUUGCAUCGUCAUGCUAACAUCAGCCAAAGCUUCAACACUCUUAACAUGUCUGUGCUGGAUUUGUUGGAACAGGUUGAAGAAGAUCGACCUCAUACAUUUCAAAGAGGAAGAGGAAGAAGGGGCAGGCGUUAGGACAUAUCGUUUAUCAUAUCAUCAUUUCAUUGCAUUUCAUGCCAUUAAGUCCUUUUUUGUUUGUUUUGUUGUUAAAAACAUUAUAUGAUGUAGCACUCUAUGUUCUCUUUUAUAAUUCUCUUGAACUACUAUGUAUGUUGUUAGCUUGCUUUAAAACAUGAUUAGCUCUUAUGAUUUCACCAUUUACAUGUUAUCUAUCUCUAUGACUACCGGUGUUCUUUAUUUUUCUUGUUUCUCUCCUACUCUGCUCUCUGUGUUUCUCUUUUUGAUGUUGUCAAAGGGGGAGAUAGAUACAAUAGAUGCUGAGUGUACGGGGGAGCCUUGGUGAGAGAUUGCCCUGUUGAGAGAUAGAUGCUGGAUGUACGGGGGAGCUCUGUUGAGUCCUUGUCAGCUUUUGACUAUUGGUUUGCCAUCAUCAAAAAGGGGGAGUAUGUGAAUACAAGAUUACACUCAAAGAGGUUUUUGAUUUAUGGCAAACUCAAAUGAGCAUUCAAACAACAAGGAGGAAUCAGAAAAGCAAAGCAUUUGAUCACUCAUGAAAGCACAAGGUGAUCCACUAUGCAUAUAAGUCGACUCAACACAAGCUGGACAUGAAAAAUGCAGAAAAUCAGCAGUUAGGUCGACCUACUGUCAAUCUAGGUCGACCUAAAAUGAAGGAAAAUCCAUAUACCUCUGCUAGGUCGACUCACAGACCAUUUAGGUCGACUCAAAAUGAAGAAAUCUUCAUAUCAGUCUGCUAGGUCGACCUACAUGGCAACUAGGUCGACCUAAUCUGUGAAAAUGUCCCCAGAAUGCAUCAGAAGAGGAUUCUGGUCGACCUACUCCUUCAACAGGUCGACCUAACUGGGAGCAAAAUUCUGCAAGCUCUGUUAGGUCGACCUAAGCACUACAAGUGGUCGACCUAACUGAUCAAGAAAGUUCAAAAAUCAGUUUUUCUUGAUUCUAACUGUUAUGAAAUCAUAUAUAUUGUACAAGGGUAAUUAUUCAAGCAACACCAACGACUGAAAGAUACACAAACGCUUCUCAUCUUCGUUCUUCAUCAUCUCCAACACAAUUACACAUAAUCAUUCUUGCGUUGCGGGUUAGUGAUGAGUUCGAUAACGUCCAUGGAACGGAAUUGAAGAUUCCUAGUGGGUGAAGGUUUGUGGGGUUUGUUGGUGAAUAAAAUCUGCGGGUUUUGUCCUCCACGACGGGUGGUUCUUGGGGGUUUUUAUCAAGAGGCGUUCAUUGAGGAUUCGGCUGAGUGUAACGAUUGAGGAACGGGGAGUUCAAGGAAUCAAGACACUGCAGAAGGGAAUCAAAGUGAAGCUCUUGGAUAACCUUGAUCUGGCUCAAGAUUAAGGGGGAAGAAGAUUCAAAGGAUCGACAUAAUUGGUUUAUCGUUUAUCGCUUUGUUAUCUUCUUUGUAUAUACUACUUUCAACAUUAAUGAAAGAUUACCCAAUUUCAAUUUGGAAUUGGGGGCAGACGUAGUCGUAGCGAGGACGAUCGACGAACUGCCUAAACAAAUAUCGUGUUCUUGUCGCUUUUACUUUCUCUUUUACUUUCUGUUCAUAAUUGGUUAUAAGUGCAAAAUUGAUCAACGAUUCAAGUGUUAAAAUUGUGAAUUAAAGUUCUGCACAAACAUCACAAUUCACCACAACUUGAAUCACUAUCAAUUUGAAUCUAUCACCAAGUGUUUGUGUUUUUGCUUAAUCCAAUCUUACUGCAUUGCAAAUCAAAGUUGUCAAUCUAGAAGUUAAUUGGAUUUCAGUUGUUAAACGUAUUGGUUAGCUAUCAUAUUACUUCACCAUCAAUUCCACUUACUCUUUGGUUUUGAAACACAUACGACCUUUGCAAUAGCGGUCCAGAAUAGACGCAAGUCGAUUCAGAACCGCUUUCGCUCGAGUCUGUAGAAAAAUUUGUAAAAACUUAGUGAGAUCUAUUCACCCCCCCUCUAGAUCUAUAGGCCAGCGUCUAACAAGUGGCAUCAAGAGCUCUGGUUUAUUCCGUGCUACGUGAAACACUUAUUGGAAAGAUGGCUUCUGGACCUAAAGGGGCUCAUAAUAGAGCUCCAGUUUUCAACGGAGAAAACUACGGCUAUUGGAAGGAUUGUAUGUGUGUCCAUAUCAAUGCAAUUGAUAGGAACAUUUGGACAGCUAUUGUCAAUGGUCCAUUUCAGAUCACUAUGACAAAUGCAGCUGGUGCAGUUGUUCCAAAACCAGAAGAUACUUGGAAUGCUGAAGAUGAAAAGAAAUAUGCAUACGAUUGGAAAGCGAGAAACAUUCUAAUCUCAGCUCUAGGAGUUGAUGAAUACUAUCGCGUUUCCCAUUGUAGAUCAGCUAAAGCUAUGUGGGACACAUUGCAAGUUGCCCACGAGGGAACGGAUGAUGUCAAACUAGCUAGGAUCAAUACGUUAACUCAAGAGUUCGAACUUUUCCACAUGGAAGAUGGUGAAACCAUCGAAAGCAUGCAGAAAAGAUUCGUUCACCUGAAAAAUCGAUUAAAUUCUCUUGAUAGACCUGUUUCCAAUGCAGUUGCUACUAACAAAAUCUUAAGGUGUUUGAACAGGGAAUGGCAGCCCAAAGUUACAGCAAUUAAGGAAGCAAAUGAUCUCAACACUUUAGACAUUACCACUCUCUUUGGUAAACUAGAGGAACAUGAACAGCAUCUUAAAUGCCUUGACAUGCAUGAGAAGAGGACAAAGAAAGAAAAGAACAUGGAAAAAGAGGUAGAGAAGAAGUCAAUAGCUCUAAAAGCUUCGAGCUCCAAGACCUCAAAACGAGAGCCAAAGGAUAGUGACACAAGUGAUGACGAAGACUCCGAUGAUGAGGAAAUGGGACUGUUUGUGCGAAGAUACAACAAAUAUCUAAAGAAAAAUGGAGCAAAACAUUCCGACAAAGGAUUGAUCAACUAUAGAAAGCAAUCAAACAUGUUCAAACAAGAUGACGACAACAAAGGAAAGAUCAAAGGUCUUUGCUUCAAUUGUGGGAAAGCCGGUCACUACAAACCGGAUUGUCCAUACCUUAAGAAAGAAAAGGAGAAGAACCAAAGCAAAGGUCAUAACAAAUCUAAAAGAGCUUACAUAGCAUGGGAAAGUGAUUCAUCUAGUGAAAGCUCGUCAAGCGAUGAAGAAGAAUCAGCAAACCUAUGUUUCAUGGCUCAUCAAAACAAGAAAAAGAAAGCUGUAAGUCAUCUUAAACCUGAACUCGUAGAUAAGGUAUCUCAUUCUCAACUAAAACUUGCUUUUGAAGAAUUACAUAGAGAUGCAAUUAAAGCUUUCAAACUUUUGGCCUCAAAUAAGAAAAUAUUUUCAUAUCUUGAAUCAAAAGUUGAGAAAACCGAAAGGGAUAUGGAAGCUUUAAAACAAUCUAUGCUAGACAUUCAAAAGGACAAAGUUGAAUUAGAUCCUACAUCAUGGUUUGGCUGUGAGACAUGUCACAUUUGGCAAAAAGAAGUGAGAGAUCUAAAAGCCAAGUUAGACAAGGCUCUACAACCAAAAGUGACUUUUGCGGUUGAUCCAAACAAGUUCAAAAGAUCGUAUACUCCUUUAUAUAGUAAAUACACUUUUGUACCAAAAGUAUCAACUAGCAAAACUCCAUAUUCUCAUCAUAUUACCUGUCAUUAUUGUUGCAAAAAGGGACAUACCAUUGAAAAAUGCAAAUUUAGGAGAAUUUUAGUUCCUAAAGGAGUAUUUCAAUGGUUGCCUAAGUGCAACAAAUUGUGUACUCACCAUCCAGGACCCAAUGAAGAUUGGGGACCUUCUACUCUAAUUUAAUCUCGCAGGAAAAGUGUCUUGACAUCGCCGAACGGUGGUAGUUCCUUGACAGCUGGUGCUCAAGACACACAUAGGUAGACAUACCAAUUUUGAUAUGUCAUCUAUGAAGACAGUUUGAAGAAUCGAUACUAGACAAGUUUUUCGCAAAAGUCAACCUGUGAAACAUUCCAUCAAAUCAAUUCAUUAUCAAAUCUAGGAGUAUGGCACACUGACAAGAAGACUCCACACAAUGAUGACAAAACACCUACAUAUUGAGAAAGCGAUACACGAGGACUUAUUCUAAUCAAAUGACAUUUGCAACAAUAAAGGGCUCGGGACAUACAGGACCUGAAUACACUCCUGAGCAAGGUUUUCUCAUGUUUUCUAAAUGGAUAUCUAAUACACCUUUGUAAUCCACGCUUAAGAUGGCUAUGUUCAUUUGUUAAUGAUUUCAUUUUAUAUAAAAAAUUGCAAUAUUUGAACA
Vicia villosa (hairy vetch) is the source of this 13993-nucleotide RNA transcript. It is a transcript of the gene named serine carboxypeptidase-like 11, with no coding region annotated. Lineage: Eukaryota; Viridiplantae; Streptophyta; Magnoliopsida; Fabales; Fabaceae. The transcript has 3 exons. The record is from RefSeq and is a predicted model, not a curated record.